This 478-nucleotide ribosomal RNA is filed under the name uncultured bacterium. Its description in RNAcentral is "partial 16S ribosomal RNA". It matches the Rfam family "Bacterial small subunit ribosomal RNA", at positions 28 to 523 of the family's 1533-position model. The record is from RNAcentral.
GACGAACGCUGGCGGCGUGCUUAACACAUGCAAGUCGAACGGUAAGGCCCUUCGGGGUACACGAGUGGCGAACGGGUGAGUAACGCGUGGGUGAUCUGCCCUGCACUUCGGGAUAAGCCUGGGAAACUGGGUCUAAUACCGGAUAGGACCACUGCCUGCAUGGGUGGUGGUGGAAAGCUUUUGCGGUGUGGGAUGGGCCCGCGGCCUAUCAGCUUGUUGGUGGGGUGAUGGCCUACCAAGGCGACGACGGGUAGCCGGCCUGAGAGGGUGACCGGCCACACUGGGACUGAGAUACGGCCCAGACUCCUACGGGAGGCAGCAGUGGGGAAUAUUGCACAAUGGGCGCAAGCCUGAUGCAGCGACGCCGCGUGAGGGAUGACGGCCCUCGGGUUGUAAACCUCUUCCAGCACCGACGAAGCGCAAGUGACGGUAGGUGCAGAAGAAGGACCGGCCAACUACGUGCCAGCCGCCGCAGUAA